UACAGAGGUCUCAAGCGUUGUUCGGAUUCAUUGGGCGUAAAGGGUGCGUAGGCGGCUUGGGGGGUCUGGUGUGAAAGCCCCGGGCUCAGCCCGGGAAGGGCGCUAGAAACUGCCGAGCUCGAGUGCCGGAGGGGAGAGUGGAAUUCCUGGUGUAGCGGUGAAAUGCGUAGAUAUCAGGAGGAAUACCGGUGGCGAAAGCGACUCUCUGGACGGCAACUGACGCUGAGGCACGAAAGCGUGGGGAGCAAACAGG
This 253-nucleotide ribosomal RNA is filed under the name uncultured bacterium. RNAcentral describes it as "partial 16S ribosomal RNA". It matches the Rfam family "Bacterial small subunit ribosomal RNA", at positions 524 to 776 of the family's 1533-position model. The record is from RNAcentral.